CAAAGAGCAGGACGCUCUGCUUACCUUAAGGGGAUGGCCACGAACAAUUAUGGCUGGCUGAUUUGACUGCCAUUACUCAGGGCUACUACCCUGAGCUGGAUGGGAAGGAGGGAUGGGGACUGCAAAGGCAAAAGCGACACACUUUUCACAUGAUUGUUCAGUGCAUCAAAGCUCAACAUAGGCUGUCAACCUCUAACUUCCAGCUGUGAUUCAUAUUAACAUUUAUCACGAACUAAGAUUCA
Non-coding RNA from Phalacrocorax carbo (great cormorant), 242 nucleotides. The record is from RefSeq and is a predicted model, not a curated record. NCBI's taxonomy places the organism in Eukaryota, Metazoa, Chordata, Aves, Suliformes, Phalacrocoracidae.